GUGACAGAAGAGAGUGAGCACACAUGGGUUUUCUUGCAAAAUAAUUAUUUAGCCUCAUGUAUGCUUCAAACUAUGUGUGCUCACCCUCUAUCUGUCACCCCCCUCCUCUUUCUCUCUCUAGUUAUGUACAUGUGUGUCUCUUAUCUUCUACUGCCUAUGUAUAUGAUGGGAAGAUGCAAAGGUAAAAGGGUGGUGACAGAAGAGAGUGAGCACACAUGGAUUUUCUUGCAAAAUAAUCAAUUUAGCCUCAUGUAUGCUUGAAACUAUGUGUGCUCACCCUCUAUCUGUCACCCCCUCCUCUUUCUCUCUCUAGUUAUGUACAUGUGUGUCUCUAAUCUACUAAUGUGUAAAUUUAUAUGUCAUGUAUUUUAAGGGUAAGAUUGUAAGGGAAGGAGUCGUGACAGAAGAGAGUGAGCACAGAUGGGCUUUCUUGCAUGAUAUUAGAUGGAGAUAUAGCAAAUACAAGGUUUCGUAUGCUUGAAGCCAUGUGUGCUCACUCUCUAUCUGUCAUCCACCACUCUUAUUAAUCUUACUCUUAAGAUCAUGUGUUUUGGAUGGUGUGUGUUACUAAUUUGGAUACUAGAGGAAAACUAAAUAUGUCUUAUUCUAGUUGCUGGCAUGCUUAAACUCUGUGUACUUAGUAUUUGCCAUGCACAUCUGUCUCUCUACUUAUGUACAUGUGUACCCUAGUUUUAAAAGUAGUGUAAUUUAUGGGUAAGACUACAAGGGAUGGAGUGGUGACAGAAGAGAGUGAGCACAGAUGGGUUUUAUUGCAUGAUAUUAGAUGGAGAUAGCUACUACACACAAGGUUUCAUAUGCUUGAAGUCAUGUGUGCUCACUCUCUAUCUGUCAU
Molecule: long non-coding RNA, 853 nt
Filed under: Helianthus annuus (common sunflower)
Lineage: Eukaryota; Viridiplantae; Streptophyta; Magnoliopsida; Asterales; Asteraceae
Rfam family: mir-156 microRNA precursor family (bases 193-291)
Source: RNAcentral